This 635-nucleotide long non-coding RNA is filed under the name Cercocebus atys (sooty mangabey). Its description in RNAcentral is "lncRNA (ENSCATG00000045512.1)". The record is from RNAcentral. Lineage: Eukaryota; Metazoa; Chordata; Mammalia; Primates; Cercopithecidae.
GUUUGAAUAUUGUUGCAGAAGGUGCGUUGGAAUUAAAAGACCAACAGGAUCCUUAGUGUAUCUACGACUUCUAAUGACCUGGAUGGUUAGUUCCCACUUUGUCCGUCCUCUUAUCCUAUUCCUACCCACCACAAUCCUUUGAGACAUCAGCAAACACUAGACAGAUCCACUGCAAUCACGAAGAAGAAUCACCCUUUUCUACACAGGGCCAUUUUUCCACGAUGCUACAUUGGCCAUCACAGAGCACAGUAAAUUCAUGAUGAGAUAAUGCUGGAAAACAAAUGACAGUAAAAUCUUUGAAAUGUCCAUCUGUGUCUGUGGGGGAACGAGCAGCAAACUUAUGGAAAAGGAAGCGAGCUAAGGAGAUAAGACUUCGACUUGAGAGGCUUUGUGAUGAUACAAAGAUUCCUGGAAGGAGUAACGGAUGACAUCACUAGAAACCAAGAAGAUGGUAAGGCCUGGAGGUGGCAGAGCUGAAGAGUUCAGAGAAGGAAGCCUGAUGAAGAAAUACAAUUCUAAUGCACAUAUGAAGGGGAUGGACAGUGUUGGAACAAGAUGGUCUUGGAUUCAGAAAUAAAAGGAGUCAGAAGCUGAAGACCUAAGGGUAACACAAGACGUCCAGGUCCUGAAAGCAG